GAUGAACGCUGACAGAAUGCUUAACACAUGCAAGUCAACUUGAAUUUGGGUUUUUAACUUAGGUUUGGGUGGCGGACGGGUGAGUAACGCGUAAAGAACUUGCCUCACAGCUAGGGACAACAUUUGGAAACGAAUGCUAAUACCUAAUAUUAUGAUAAUAGGGCAUCCUAUAAUUAUGAAAGCUAUAAGCGCUGUGAGAGAGCUUUGCGUCCCAUUAGCUAGUUGGAGAGGUAACGGCUCACCAAGGCGAUGAUGGGUAGCCGGCCUGAGAGGGUGAUCGGCCACAAGGGGACUGAGACACGGCCCUUACUCCUACGGGAGGCAGCAGUGGGGAAUAUUGGACAAUGGACCGAGAGUCUGAUCCAGCAAUUCUGUGCGCACGAUGAAGUUUUUCGGAAUGUAAAGUGCUUUCAGUUGGGAAGAAACAAAUGACGGUACCAACAGAAGAAGUGACGGCUAAAUACGUG
RNAcentral lists this ribosomal RNA (467 nucleotides) under uncultured bacterium. RNAcentral's name for it is "partial 16S ribosomal RNA". It matches the Rfam family "Bacterial small subunit ribosomal RNA", at positions 28 to 507 of the family's 1533-position model. The record is from RNAcentral.